RNAcentral lists this ribosomal RNA (440 nucleotides) under uncultured Oscillospiraceae bacterium. Its description in RNAcentral is "partial 16S ribosomal RNA". The record is from RNAcentral. Lineage: Bacteria; Bacillati; Bacillota; Clostridia; Eubacteriales; Oscillospiraceae.
CACGUAGUUAGCCGAUGCUUAUUCCUUAGCUACCGUCACUUUCUUCUUCACUAAGAAAAGAAGUUUACAAUCCGAAAACCGUCUUCCUUCACGCGGCGUUGCUGCAUCAGGGUUUCCCCCAUUGUGCAAUAUUCCCCACUGCUGCCUCCCGUAGGAGUCUGGGCCGUAUCUCGGUCCCAAUGUGGCCGUUCAACCUCUCAGUCCGGCUACUGAUCGUCGACUUGGUAGGCCGUUACCCCACCAACUAUCUAAUCAGACGCGAGCCCAUCUUUCAGCGGAUUGCUCCUUGAUAUCAACCGAUGCCGAUUCAAUAUAUCAUGCGGUAUUAGCGACCGUUUCCAGUCCCGUUACUCCCCCUCUUCGGAAACGGUCUACGGUUGCUCGACGUUCGUUACUCACCCGUCCGCCUACUAAGUUAAAACGCUCGUCACUCCGAAGAG